RNAcentral lists this long non-coding RNA (304 nucleotides) under Citrus maxima (pomelo). Its description in RNAcentral is "long non-coding RNA (CMAX_LNC001619)". Lineage: Eukaryota; Viridiplantae; Streptophyta; Magnoliopsida; Sapindales; Rutaceae. The record is from RNAcentral.
AUAGACAAUUAAUUGAAUGUAAAACAUUUCUUUCAACUAAUUUCACACAUAGAAAUAGAAAUCAGAUGAGUACUAAGUCUUCUUUCAUAAAAUAUAUCUACAUACAUCAAUGGCCUUCAAACACAAUAAACAUCACAAUUUCUUCAAACACAAUAAACAUCACAAUUAUAUUGAUCAAUUAUAAACUGCGACCUAUGAUUACCUAGCUUUGGCCAGUGUGAACUUGACUGCUUACUGAGUUACUAUGGGCAAUUUAACUAUAUCCUAUUACUAUUCGUGUGGAAUGAAGAGCAUUUAAAAUGGC